AUGGCCCCCCACUAGUCAAUCGCGGAAAAAAAAAUCCAGCCCCCACGAUCUUAUCCCGCAUCCAGCAACUGCUCCACCCCUGUAUUCUCUUUCAGUUUCUCUUUCUCCCAUCCCCAGAUCAGAGCUCCUCCGAUCCACCCGCCCCCUUCUCAUCGGCGGGAUCCCCGCUGCUGCCUCACGCACGACCCUCUCCUCCGCGGCCCAGUCCGCUCGAACACCGCCGCCCUCCUCACUGGCGGGAUCCGAGCCGCCAGCCUCACCCGCGGGAUCGGAGCCGCCGGCCACCGCCCACCUCGCCUGAAGGAUAGGAUGCCACUACUCUUCUACACCGUCCACCGGUGGUCCAUCACCUGCUUCACCUGACUGAAAAAUCCUUGCGGUGUUUCGAAGAAGCUGUGGUGGAAAUUCCGGAACCGCUGCGCCGACGGUGGUGUGAUGCCGGCGAUGGGUCCGCUGGCAAUUCAGUAUGCCAGGAUGUCGCUGCCAACUCGAGGUGUGUUCAUAGGAUGAUUCAUAUCAUGCUUGAAAAUGCGCAAUUCUGCCUGCUAAAUCUGGAUAACCAUGAGCUGAUUAUUCCAAAUGAAUGCUAAUUUUGACCCUGCUGGCCUCACGAUUGGUUCCAAAUUUAUUUGUGAGGUUGUAUGCCAGGGGUAUUAGAUCAUAGAAUUUGCUAUUUCUAUGAUUUGUAUCCUGCCUCUCCACUGUACCAUGGAAAUGAUUUGGUGAAAUAUUGAUUGCGAGGGUUUGGAACCAAGUAACUAAAAAACAAUUGGAGCAAAGAGGCAGUGAAUGGAACUCUAGAUACUCAGCUUUUGACUCUCACUCGAAAAGUUCAAAAUAAUAAUCUGGCAGUGUCAUCUGCUUUGAGUAGCUCAGGAUGGGUGGUUAGAAGAGAUCGAAGGGAAGGCGCAAGAACAUGAUAAGAUGCAUGUUGCACAACAAGAGAUGAUAAAGGAGCUGAUAAGAUUAUCAGUUUUUAUUGGUGGCUGUUAGAAGCUGUAGACAAGAUGAUGCAUUUUUAUUAGAUUCAAGUGAGAUUAUUCAGAUUAGCAUAAAAAGUGCAGAGGAUCGUGCAAAGCUUUGUUAUCAUUUGAUUAUUUCACUAUAUAUUUUGUUCAGUUUCGAUGUAAGCAUCAGGCCUUAACAGGAAAUUCAAUUUGAUGUACUUGGCCAUGAUCAACGAACACAAAUAUUACAGAAGAGCACCAAAUGAAUGAGAACUUGACAA
Long non-coding RNA from Triticum dicoccoides, 1228 nucleotides. RefSeq lists it as uncharacterized. NCBI's taxonomy places the organism in Eukaryota, Viridiplantae, Streptophyta, Magnoliopsida, Poales, Poaceae. The transcript has 4 exons. The record is from RefSeq and is a predicted model, not a curated record.